UACGAAGGGGGCUAGCGUUGCUCGGAAUCACUGGGCGUAAAGCGCACGUAGGCGGAUUGUUAAGUCCGGUGUGAAAUCCUGGAGCUCAACUCCAGAACUGCCUUUGAUACUGGCGAUCUUGAGUCCGGGAGAGGUGAGUGGAACUGCGAGUGUAGAGGUGAAAUUCGUAGAUAUUCGCAAGAACACCAGUGGCGAAGGCGGCUCACUGGCCCGGUACUGACGCUGAGGUGCGAAAGCGUGGGGAGCAAACAGG
Molecule: ribosomal RNA, 253 nt
Filed under: uncultured bacterium
Lineage: Bacteria
Description: partial 16S ribosomal RNA
Rfam family: Bacterial small subunit ribosomal RNA
Source: RNAcentral